GGAGGGAUCGCAAGGGGGGCCGUCGGGGACCUCUCCUUUUUACCAAUCCCCACCAACGUAUGGCUUUCAAACACCAUCGCCGUUCAUGAUGCAAACACCUCCACAUACACUAUUAUUUGAAGGUGGAUCAUCGUCCCAAGUCCGAGAACCAGAUGCAGAACCGGGAGAACCAGAAUCACCACCGGAGGAAGAACAACCGCC
RNAcentral lists this long non-coding RNA (201 nucleotides) under Gossypium barbadense (sea-island cotton). Its description in RNAcentral is "long non-coding RNA (GBAR_LNC019348)". Lineage: Eukaryota; Viridiplantae; Streptophyta; Magnoliopsida; Malvales; Malvaceae. The record is from RNAcentral.